CAGCCGCCGCGGGAAUACGUAGGGUGCAAGCGUUAAUCGGAAUUACUGGGUGUAAAGCGUGCGCAGGCGGUUUGUUAAGACAGAUGUGAAAUCCCCGGGCUCAACCUGGGAACUGCAUUUGUGACUGGCAAGCUAGAGUGUGGCAGAGGGGGGUGGAAUUCCGCGUGUAGCAGUGAAGUGCGUAGAUAUGCGGAGGAACACCGAUGGCGAAGGCAGCCCCCUGGGACAACACUGACGCUGAGGCACGAAAGCGUGGGGAGCAAACAGGAUUAGAUACCCCUGUAGUCCCUGUCUCUUAUAC
This 301-nucleotide ribosomal RNA is filed under the name uncultured bacterium. RNAcentral describes it as "partial 16S ribosomal RNA". It matches the Rfam family "Bacterial small subunit ribosomal RNA", at positions 509 to 807 of the family's 1533-position model. The record is from RNAcentral.